AUUGAACGCUGGCGGCAGGCCUAACACAUGCAAGUCGAGCGGCAGCGGAAAGUAGUUUGCUACUUUGCCGGCGAGCGGCGGACGGGUGAGUAAUGUCUGGGAAACUGCCUGAUGGAGGGGGAUUACUACUGGAAACGGUAGCUAAUACCGCAUAACGUCGCAAGACCAACGAGGGGGACCUUCGGGCCUCUUGCCAUCAGAUGUGCCCAGAUGGGAUUAGCUAGUAGGUGGGGUAACGGCUCACCUAGGCGACGUUCCCUAGCUGUGGUGAGAGGAUGACCAGCCACACUGGAACUGAGACACGGGCCAGACUCCUGCGGGAGGCAGCAGUGGGGAAUAUUGCACAAUGGGCGCAAGCCUGAUGCAGCCAUGCCGCGUGUAUGAAGAAGGCCUUCGGGUUGUAAAGUACUUUCAGCGGGGAGGAAGGUGUUGAGGUUAAUAACCUCAGCAAUUGACGUUACCCGCAGAAGAAGCACCGGCUAACUCCGUGCCAGCCGCCGCAGUAA
RNAcentral lists this ribosomal RNA (506 nucleotides) under uncultured bacterium. Its description in RNAcentral is "partial 16S ribosomal RNA". It matches the Rfam family "Bacterial small subunit ribosomal RNA", at positions 30 to 523 of the family's 1533-position model. The record is from RNAcentral.